Small nucleolar RNA from Xyrauchen texanus (razorback sucker), 294 nucleotides. Lineage: Eukaryota; Metazoa; Chordata; Actinopteri; Cypriniformes; Catostomidae. The record is from RefSeq and is a predicted model, not a curated record.
ACCCAGUGAUGAGACCAAGGCGAAUGUGAGCCCACUGAAUUAGAGUCUGAACUCUCCUGUGUACCUAUUGGCUGGUAAUCUUGGCUGGACAGUGAAGAUUUGCUGUCUUGCUGUAAGGGCCUGCCUACAUUCAACAAGCCCUUCCCUUAUACAUUUUAAUCCUUUUGAGAAAUGGGGGAAGAGACAGGUGGGGGCUUACAUUUUGAGUGAGUGAGUGAAGGGUCAUGGGUUGAGUUUCAAUUCUCUAUGGUAAUUUUGUGGGCACUGAACUCUAUCUUUGGUUAUCUGAGGGCA